This 1294-nucleotide unclassified non-coding RNA is filed under the name Hevea brasiliensis (rubber tree). Lineage: Eukaryota; Viridiplantae; Streptophyta; Magnoliopsida; Malpighiales; Euphorbiaceae. The record is from RNAcentral.
GGUUUUGAUUACAAGAUUCGUCCACUGAAGCUGCCCUUGCACUCAAAGAAAUGCCGACUUAUUCGUUACUCUCAGUACAAAAUCAACCUGACAUCGCAAGACAGCUCUUUUGUCUGAUCUUUUCCCCACUGACUAAGUGGAUUGGAUUGAGUAAAAGAAUGUUAAUUGAAGGGGAAAAGGGAAUUAGAUUAAGAACAUGUUCCCAAGCAUGAGCCCAUAAAACCCCUGGCAAUAUUUGCUAGUGAUAGAACAAACUUAUAAUCUAAGAGGCCUCCAAAAGCCACUGACGCACAUUUUUCUAGCUAGAAGAAUGCGACAACUUCUUUCACAGGGCUCCAGUAUCUCAGUAGUCUUCUCUCAUGCUUUCUGGUUUCCUCUUUGCAUGCAUUGCAAGACGGGCAUCUCUCUCCCGCUCAAACUCUCGGUAAUCAGCACGCUCUAAGAAACCAACCCUGUCUAGAUACUGAUUGGAACUCUUCUUGUAAGCAUCCAGCUCUUCUUCCAUCCCUCUAUUUUCUCCCUUGAAUCCCUCCCAGUCUUUCUUUGUCUUAUCAAGUACACUCAGUUUCUGCUUCUUUUUUAUUUGUUCAAGGAUGAUAUCAACAGCAGAAGCAGGUGCUGCGGGGCCUUUGCCUUUAUCAGAUGCUUCUGCAGAAUUGUGGUCAACAUAUUUCUUUAUUUCAACAUCUUCACCAGCAAAAUCUCGCACUUCAGUAAUCACUUUAACCCGGCCUGCAGAGGCAGCAGCGGUGGCAGCCUCCUUUACUGCAGAGAGUGCAGCAGCAGCAAGCUUCUUUGACUCCUCGCUAGUAUCAUUUUGAGUAGUCCUAAGACACUUCUCUGGUGUGCUUCUUCCAGGCUCUGAUGGUUUCUUUUGGGACAAUCCCAGUACUGUCAUCCAACUCUGUUGAGACUGUAACACCACAAAUCUGAGUAACAGCGUGGACAUAUCUCAUACAAUUUGUAAAGUAGAGGUCUUAUACUCACAGAAGAUGACGAUUUUGAGGAACUUUUUGAGGAACUUUUAUUUGAUGCUGAGGUAGGCUUGUUUAUUAUGGAGUACAGGGUCCUCGUAGACACUCCUUUGUUCAUUUGCUCCCAAACAGCAUCCACCCGAGCUUUCCUUUCAAUUUCUUCGGGCUGCAUCUGCAUGUUAGGAAGGCACGCAGUAUCUUGUUUGGGCAUCAGUUGGAAGCCAUCGACAUUCUCUAAAUUAUUUUGAACAAGCUGGGCUUCUGCAGUCAAUUCAGCCAUAUUGCUUAACCUCGAAGCAGUACCAGGAAGAACGACGGUG